RNAcentral lists this ribosomal RNA (497 nucleotides) under uncultured bacterium. Its description in RNAcentral is "partial 16S ribosomal RNA". It matches the Rfam family "Bacterial small subunit ribosomal RNA", at positions 28 to 507 of the family's 1533-position model. The record is from RNAcentral.
GAUGAACGCUGGCGGCGUGCCUAAUACAUGCCAGUCGAGCGAAUGGACGAGAAGCUUGCUUCUCUGAUGUUAGCGGCGGACGGGUGAGUAACACGUGGAUAACCUACCUAUAAGACUGGGAUAACUUCGGGAAACCGGAGCUAAUACCGGAUAAUAUUUUGAACCGCAUGGUUCAAAAGUGAAAGACGGUCUUGCUGUCACUUAUAGAUGGAUCCGCGCUGCAUUAGCUAGUUGGUAAGGUAACGGCUUACCAAGGCAACGAUGCAUAGCCGACCUGAGAGGGUGAUCGGCCACACUGGAACUGAGACACGGUCCAGACUCCUACGGGAGGCAGCAGUAGGGAAUCUUCCGCAAUGGGCGAAAGCCUGACGGAGCAACGCCGCGUGAGUGAUGAAGGUCUUCGGAUCGUAAAACUCUGUUAUUAGGGAAGAACAUAUGUGUAAGUAACUGUGCACAUCUUGACGGUACCUAAUCAGAAGGCCACGGCUAACUACGUG